Long non-coding RNA from Lolium perenne, 488 nucleotides. RefSeq lists it as uncharacterized. Lineage: Eukaryota; Viridiplantae; Streptophyta; Magnoliopsida; Poales; Poaceae. The record is from RefSeq and is a predicted model, not a curated record.
GCCUCAUUUCUUUUCACUACCCACUCCUUUCUUCACUCCCACACACUCUCCUCCUCCCCUCCCCACGAAAUAUUGCUCCCCCAAGGCUUCAUGGCCGGCCAUGGCCAUGGAAAGAGCUCCAAGAUGAAGUCCCCUCCUCCCUCAAGCUCCUCCUCACCAUGAGAGCCUCCCUCUCCUUCUUCUCCCCAACCCUAGAUGGUUUUCUCUCCUAUUCUUCUUCCUCCCUUGCUAAGAUUGGAUCUUGAUGCAGGUGCAUGUUGGUCCAAGCAUGGAGAAGCUUGAGCUAUCCUCAGAUCUGAAGUUCUUGAGCAAAAUCAAAAUCGAGUGAUUCAAAGUUCCGCGGAUAGGUAUUCAAAAGAUCUAUAACUUGGCGUUGGUCUCAUCCUCAAAUUCGCUACAGAUUCUCCCUGAUCAAGAUCUGGUCAGAUCUGAAUUUAUCGAAUUAAACCAGGAGCUUGGAGACGAAUUUUUGAAUGAAACAAAUUAGG